ACGCUCGACACCUACGGGAGCAGCAGUGGGGAAUAUUGCACAAUGGGGGAAACCCUGAUGCAGCGACGCCGCGUGAGCGAAGAAGUAUUUCGGUAUGUAAAGCUCUAUCAGCAGGAAAGAAGAAAGACGGUACCUGACUAAGAAGCCCCGGCUAACUACGUGUCAGCAGCCGCGGUAAUCUGAGCGGGCUGGCAAGGC
RNAcentral lists this ribosomal RNA (198 nucleotides) under uncultured bacterium. RNAcentral describes it as "partial 16S ribosomal RNA". It matches the Rfam family "Bacterial small subunit ribosomal RNA", at positions 328 to 539 of the family's 1533-position model. The record is from RNAcentral.